This 72-nucleotide microRNA precursor is filed under the name Vigna unguiculata (cowpea). RNAcentral's name for it is "miR164 stem-loop (vun-MIR164)". Its record names the gene vun-MIR164. It matches the Rfam family "MIR164 microRNA precursor family". The record is from miRBase by way of RNAcentral. Lineage: Eukaryota; Viridiplantae; Streptophyta; Magnoliopsida; Fabales; Fabaceae.
UGUUGGAGAAGGGGAGCACGUGCAAGAUCAGACGGAGGGAGAGAGACGUUGCACGUGCCCUGCUUCUCCAAC